GACGGAGGGUGCUAGCGUUGUUCGGAAUCACUGGGCGUAAAGGGCGCGUAGGCGGCCUUGCAAGUCGGUUGGUGAAAGCCCGGGGCUCAACCCCGGAGGUGCGGCCGAGACUGCAGGGCUGGAGGCCGGAAGAGGAGGGUGGAAUACCCAGUGUAGCGGUGAAAUGCGUAGAGAUCGGGAGGAACACCAGAGGCGAAGGCGCCUAGCUGGACAGAUACUGACACUCAACAACGAAAGCGUGGGGAGCAAACAGG
Molecule: ribosomal RNA, 254 nt
Filed under: uncultured bacterium
Lineage: Bacteria
Description: partial 16S ribosomal RNA
Rfam family: Bacterial small subunit ribosomal RNA
Source: RNAcentral